CCGUCGUAUUGCUGCCGACGUUAUGUUUUGUAGGGGCGUAUGCAACCCUAGGUCUGGAGGAACGGAGAGACCCAGUUGGCUGCAACAAGUUUGAAGACGACUGCAAUUUUCCAACAGGUUGUUACUGCCCGUGGAGAGGAGGACGAUAUGCAGUGGCUCCUUACAUGUAUCACUAUAAUCCACGUCUGCGCCGGUGUGAUCAAGGAGGGCAGCUCGGAAAUUGCAAUUCAUUUAUUAGCCCGGAAAUGUGCGUGCAAACAUGUAUUGUGGGAAGGCGAGGCUAGUCGUCUCUGAUAUUACAAUUAAAACAACAAUGACUGUUCAUAAGGUAUGUAAUAACCGAAUUAUAACUGAGUAGAGCCACUAACAGCAUAAUCCCACGGCUGCUACUCGGCGGAAUGCAUGUGACGACCGGCCUUUCGCCCACCUCCUGAACAAGCCGUUCGACGAAAUCAAGUUGUGAAGUGUUGAAUAUUUAUUA
This is a long non-coding RNA of Rhipicephalus sanguineus (brown dog tick), 481 nucleotides long. RefSeq lists it as uncharacterized. The transcript is spliced from 3 exons. NCBI's taxonomy places the organism in Eukaryota, Metazoa, Arthropoda, Arachnida, Ixodida, Ixodidae. The record is from RefSeq and is a predicted model, not a curated record.